AGUGAACGCUGGCGGUAGGCCUAACACAUGCAAGUCGAACGGCAGCACAGUAAGAGCUUGCUCUUACGGGUGGCGAGUGGCGGACGGGUGAGGAAUACAUCGGAAUCUACUUUUUCGUGGGGGAUAACGUAGGGAAACUUACGCUAAUACCGCAUACGACCUACGGGUGAAAGCAGGGGAUCUUCGGACCUUGCGCGAUUGUAUGAGCCGAUGUCGGAUUAGCUAGUUGGCGGGGUAAAGGCCCACCAAGGCGACGAUCCGUAGCUGGUCUGAGAGGAUGAUCAGCCACACUGGAACUGAGACACGGUCCAGACUCCUACGGGAGGCAGCAGUGGGGAAUAUUGGACAAUGGGCGCAAGCCUGAUCCAGCCAUACCGCGUGGGUGAAGAAGGCCUUCGGAUUGUAAAGCCCUUUUGUUGGGAAAGAAAAGCAGCAGGUUAAUACCCCGCUGUUCUGACGGUACCAAAAGAAUAAGCACCGGCUAACUUCGUG
This 492-nucleotide ribosomal RNA is filed under the name uncultured bacterium. RNAcentral describes it as "partial 16S ribosomal RNA". It matches the Rfam family "Bacterial small subunit ribosomal RNA", at positions 29 to 507 of the family's 1533-position model. The record is from RNAcentral.